This is a long non-coding RNA of Monopterus albus (swamp eel), 369 nucleotides long. RefSeq lists it as uncharacterized. The record is from RefSeq and is a predicted model, not a curated record. The transcript is spliced from 3 exons. NCBI's taxonomy places the organism in Eukaryota, Metazoa, Chordata, Actinopteri, Synbranchiformes, Synbranchidae.
CUGACCUGUGUUUCUCUUCUGAUGUUCCAUCUGCCCCUGGACUUUCCUAAGUUUGCUUUCUGUACUUUAAUCCACCAUCUUCUGGUUGUGUGGUUAUUCCCAUCGGCUCUGCAGGCCACGCUCUUACCUGCAUUGUUCAUUGCUGACUGGGCUCAUCUCCUGCCAAUCACGAUGGUCCACCACUGUCUCUAUACUUCAGCCUUAAGAUUUUGCCAUUUACCUCUAAAGUUAAGACCUCAUAUGUGAAAAAAGAGUCCUCCACUGCUACUGAAGACCAUCUGCUGUGUUGCCAGAACCAUGUUUCCUCUGUUGCACUCUGCUCCACCGCCCCAAGCCCACAGGGUGUUUUUGCCCUACUAAUACUGUAUA